AUGUGAUCGCACGUGUAUGUUUAUCUGUAUCAGUGUGUAACAGUGAUGAACAGGGUGUGGUGUUCAACCAGGUUUUGAUGCUUGAACUGAGUUUCCCUUGAGGACUGUUGUUGUGAUCAACGCUGCAGAUGAGGAGCAACAGAUCCUCCCUAAGCAAGCCAUGGCAUUAAUACCAGCGCCAGUGCUCGGCCUCUUGGAUUCUUUAUUUGCUGUAAGACUCCGAAUCUGAGAGUUCACCUUCAGCCCGACUCACAAGACAGGCGGCAGAUCGUAAUUCAUCGCUGGCGUCUCUGCGUGGCUUGUUUUCUUUUCUUUCCUGUCCGGUCUCUCGAAUUCCGUCCUCUCCCAUGUCGCUCUCGGGGAUGUGAUGAGGUCAGAGCGCUUCCUGACGUGAGGACAGCGGCUCUCUGAUGACCGUGAUGGAGGAGCAGAAAUGUGGCGUGUUGUUGCUGAGAGUCACACUGAGGGGACGUUCGGUGACACGCGGCUGUGACUCGCCCAACCUCCCGCUGAAGAUAGUGUGAUGGGGCGCUUCCUGAUCUGGCUCCUGAACCUGUGAACUGUGCAUGAGCUGUACUUCCUACACACACACACACACACACACACACACACACAGACACACACACACACACACAUUUCUCUGUCUCUCUCUCUCUUUCUCUCUCUCUCUGUUUAAGAUGAAACAUCUGCGCUAAAGUGGACAUGUCUUUGACCCCUCUCUCUCUUCAUUCCGAACAGCUGGGACACAUCAAUUCAGCUCAUCAUUCUCACACACACACACACACACACACACACACACACACACACACACACGCACACGCACCCCUUCCACCUGUUAUUAUCCACUGUCAUUCCCUCGCCUCUUGUUCCCUACUGGGGAUAAAGUCACAACAAAUGUGGUAUGAGUCUGAUUUUUGAAAAAGAAAAAAAAAAAAAAUCAGAUUUCAUGUGGUCCAAUCAGAUACACCAAAAAGUUGGAUUUGGGUUUGAGUCAUGUGACCGGAGUGAACAGAACCAUCAUGUCCUUCAUCGAGCCGUAUGAAAGCGUUGUGUAUGGAAGGUUUCAUGUUGAGAAAAAUAUUUUAGCCUUGUUAUCAAUUUUAAUCAACGUUAUUCAAUAUUAGACAUUAAAUGUAAAUAAAUAAA
Long non-coding RNA from Ictalurus punctatus (channel catfish), 1146 nucleotides. RefSeq lists it as uncharacterized. The transcript has 3 exons. NCBI's taxonomy places the organism in Eukaryota, Metazoa, Chordata, Actinopteri, Siluriformes, Ictaluridae. The record is from RefSeq and is a predicted model, not a curated record.